AGCAGCAGCCAUGGCCCUGCAUGACCCCAUGGCCAUGGGCCUCAACAAGGGCCACAAGGUGACCAAGAAUGUGAGCAAGCCAAGACACAGCUGCCACCGCUGGCACCUGACCCAACACACCAAGUUCGUGCGGGACAUGAUCCCAGAGGUGUGCAGCUUCACCCGCAACAAGCGGUGCACCACGGAGCUGCUCAAGGUCUCCAAGGACAAGCGGGUGCUCAAGUUCAUCAAGAAACGGGUGGGGACGCACAUCCGCGCCAAGAGGAAUCGCAAGGAGCUGAGCAACGUGCUGGCCGCCAUAAGGAAGGCUGCAGUCAAGAAGGACUGA
Carlito syrichta (Philippine tarsier) is the source of this 328-nucleotide RNA transcript. It is a transcript of the gene named 60S ribosomal protein L36 pseudogene, with no coding region annotated. The record is from RefSeq and is a predicted model, not a curated record. The transcript has a single exon. Lineage: Eukaryota; Metazoa; Chordata; Mammalia; Primates; Tarsiidae.